GACGAACGCUGGCGGCGUGCCUAAUACAUGCAAGUCGAGCGAAGUUUUUCUGGUGCUUGCACUAGAAAAACUUAGCGGCGAACGGGUGAGUAACACGUAAAGAACCUGCCUCAUAGACUGGGACAACUAUUGGAAACGAUAGCUAUACCGGAUAACAGUAUUUCUCGCAUGAGAGAUAUUUAAAAGUUGGUUAUGCUAACACUAUGAGAUGGCUUUGCGGUGCAUUAGCUAGUUGGUGGGGUAAAGGCCCACCAAGGCGACGAUGCAUAGCCGACCUGAGAGGGUGAUCGGCCACACUGGGACUGAGACACGGCCCAGACUCCUACGGGAGGCAGCAGUAGGGAAUCUUCCGCAAUGGGCGAAAGCCUGACGGAGCAACGCCGCGUGAGUGAAGAAGGAUUUCGGUUCGUAAAGCUCUGUUGUUAGGGAAGAAUGGAUAUGUAGUAACUAUACAUGUAAGAGACGGUACCUAACCAGAAAGCCACGGCUAACUACGUG
RNAcentral lists this ribosomal RNA (498 nucleotides) under uncultured bacterium. RNAcentral's name for it is "partial 16S ribosomal RNA". It matches the Rfam family "Bacterial small subunit ribosomal RNA", at positions 28 to 507 of the family's 1533-position model. The record is from RNAcentral.